CACAGCACUGGUGCGAUGAUGUCAUCGGCGCUGGGCCAGAGACGUCAUGAGCGUCCUACUGCCCAACAUGGCGGACUUUGACACCAUUUAUGAGUUAGAAGAAGAAGAUGAGAGAAUUGUGAGUGAAGAACAUCUCGUCAGACACUGUCCCGAGCCCGUGGUCAUGCGUGGGGCUGGUCACAUCACCGUGUUUGGACUAAGCAACAAAUUUGACACAGAGUUUCCUUCUGUUCUCACAGGAAAGGUUGCUCCAGAGGAGUUCAAGACGAGCGUCAAUCGAGUAAACGCUUGCUUGAAGAAGAACCUACCGGUCAAUGUGAAAUGGUUGCUCUGCGGCUGCCUGUGCUGUUGCUGUACGGUGGGCUGCAGUCUGUGGCCUGUCAUAUGUCUCAACAAGAGAACGCGAAGAUCCAUCCAGAAAUUGUUAGAAUGGGAAAACAACAGAUUAUAUCACAAGCUGGGGCUGCACUGGAAGCUCAGCAAGAGAAAAUGUGAGAGCAACAACAUGAUGGAAUAUGGCUAUAAGCUGCUACUUAAAUUACUGCAAAUGCACCACUUUUAUUGAUUGUGCAACAAUAAUUUAAAAGUCAGGGAAACUUCAUGCAUCAUCUCAUUAGAGUAUUCAUCUGAUUUAUCAUGCACAAGUUAUUCUUAUAGAGUUCUUACCAAAAUAUCCUAUAUUCAGACCUGACUAAAGGACUUCUGCUGGAUCCUCGUGGAAGGCCCUUCAUUCCUCUCCUUAGUGCCUUGUAUAUAUGUCGGAUCGAGGGUCUUCACUGGGUUUCUACAAGACCCCUUCUCCCAGUACCUUGUACAGUAGAAUUCGCAACACUGUCACUUUGCUUUAGAGCAGAUUUUGCACAUUACCUGAUGUAGUAGAAGCGCUCCUGUGUUGCACUCAGACGUUUUGUUACAUAUAAUGAGAGAUGGGAAGAAAGCAAACUCUGAUAACUGUUUAAAAAGUGCAUUUACCCCAAAGAGCCAUCAAGUCCUCCCCACAUAAUAUAUUAUGGUGUUGUUAUGAACAAGGCACCUUAUGGUGUGAAUUUGCCUUAUGUUAAAGGACAAACUUUUUUAAAUCGGGCGUGUAAAGUGCAGGAGUCAGAAAUGUGUUGUUUUAAUGUUUUCAGAGUGCGAUGACUAGCGUUGAGGUUUUGAAGCUAGCUUAGAGGACCAGUCAGCAGCGUGAUCUGGCACAUUUGCGAUUGUCUACUACACGGGGAAGUCAACAAACUGACUUGUAAAUAUCAUGGACAGGAUGUACAGUGUGGUAUACCAUGUUUACAUUAUGUAAUUUAGCUGGUUAUUAGUUUUUCGCCAAUAUAUUAUUGUAGCAUUGUUUGUUUAUAAGCCGUGUCUCUGUAACUUUACAGUUUAUAUGGACCUGUUUACCCAGUAAGCCAUAAAAUGUACGUAAAAGAUGCCACUCGAGUUAGGGCUGAAAAUUGCACCUGAGCACAUGAGGGCAAGCUGAUUGUCCUGGAGCUUUUUGAUAUUGUUUAACAAUGUCAGUAGUAGUGUUUAAAAACAAUAAGGUAUGCCAAUCAAGCAGAAUUUGUUACCAAGAGAAAUGUGUCAUUCAGUUUUGCACCAAUGAUAUUUACCCAUUCAAGUUUUUGUUGGAAUAUACUUUGUACCCUGUAUUUUUUUUUUCAGUACAGCUUCAUCUUGGAGUGUGUUUUAAUUGUAUUCAUGGAUGCUGUAUCCUGUGGUUCUACUACUGGGGUAACCACAUACACAAUGUUGUAUAUGUAAUGGUUAAAACGGCCUCUUAUCUGUUUUCUGUAACUGUAUGACAUCUUUGCUCCAUGUGCUGUAGACAUGACUGCAUUAGUCGAGUGCCUCUGUAGAUGGUCUUGAGAGGGAGCUGUGCUGAAGAGGAAUAAUUCUUUGCCUAGCAAUCUAAUGGAGAGAAAGGAAAUCUGCUCUCAGUACUGGUUCUGUUAAAGUACCUGUAAAUGUUUGUCCCUACCUAAUCCUAUGGAAAGCUUCAAUAAAUUCCUGAUUUUGAUCUUUUUGAA
Cyprinus carpio (common carp) is the source of this 2021-nucleotide RNA transcript. It is a transcript of the gene named cysteine-rich hydrophobic domain-containing protein 2-like, with no coding region annotated. The record is from RefSeq and is a predicted model, not a curated record. NCBI's taxonomy places the organism in Eukaryota, Metazoa, Chordata, Actinopteri, Cypriniformes, Cyprinidae.